Molecule: ribosomal RNA, 433 nt
Filed under: uncultured bacterium
Lineage: Bacteria
Description: partial 16S ribosomal RNA
Rfam family: Bacterial small subunit ribosomal RNA
Source: RNAcentral
AACGAACGCUGGCGGCAGGCCUAACACAUGCAAGUCGAGCGAGCAUUUCGGUGCUAGCGGCGGACGGGUGAGUAACGCGUGGGAACGUGCCCUUUUCUGCGGAAUAGUCCUGGGAAACUGGGGGUAAUACCGCAUACGCCCUUUUGGGGAAAGAUUUAUCGGAGAAGGAUCGGCCCGCGUUGGAUUAGGUAGUUGGUGGGGUAAUGGCCCACCAAGCCGACGAUCCAUAGCUGGUUUGAGAGGAUGAUCAGCCACACUGGGACUGAGACACGGCCCAGACUCCUACGGGAGGCAGCAGUGGGGAAUCUUAGACAAUGGGGGCAACACUGAUCUAGCCAUGCCGCGUGAGUGAUGAAGGCCUUAGGGUUGUAAAGCUCUUUCAGCUGGGAAGAUAAUGACGGUACCAGCAGAAGAAGCCCCGGCUAACUCCGUG